This 467-nucleotide ribosomal RNA is filed under the name uncultured bacterium. RNAcentral's name for it is "partial 16S ribosomal RNA". It matches the Rfam family "Bacterial small subunit ribosomal RNA", at positions 28 to 507 of the family's 1533-position model. The record is from RNAcentral.
GAUGAACGCUGAUAGAAUGCUUAACACAUGCAAGUCAACUUGAAUUUGGGUUUUUACCUUAGGUUUGGGUGGCGGACGGGUGAGUAACGCGUAAAGAACUUGCCUCACAGCUAGGGACAACAUUUGGAAACGAAUGCUAAUACCUAAUAUUAUGAUAAUAGGGCAUCCUAUAAUUAUGAAAGCUAUAAGCGCUGUGAGAGAGCUUUGCGUCCCAUUAGCUAGUUGGAGAGGUAACGGCUCACCAAGGCGAUGAUGGGUAGCCGGCCUGAGAGGGUGAUCGGCCACAAGGGGACUGAGACACGGCCCUUACUCCUACGGGAGGCAGCAGUGGGGAAUAUUGGACAAUGGACCGAGAGUCUGAUCCAGCAAUUCUGUGUGCACGAUGAAGUUUUUCGGAAUGUAAAGUGCUUUCAGUUGGGAAGAAACAAAUGACGGUACCAACAGAAGAAGUGACGGCUAAAUACGUG